Molecule: long non-coding RNA, 223 nt
Filed under: Hordeum vulgare
Lineage: Eukaryota; Viridiplantae; Streptophyta; Magnoliopsida; Poales; Poaceae
Description: long non-coding RNA (HVUL_LNC015778)
Source: RNAcentral
GAUGGUGGCUAUCAAUUUUGUGGGGACGACUUUGACGAUCCGACUACAAACGUGCACGAUGUUGCGCCUUAGCAAUCGCUAAACCAAUCUCCAAGAGGUUAUUAACAACGUCGGAGCAUGAUGAACCUGACCACGAAGGUCUAUUCCUGCAAGCAAUCGAAGAACAAGCAAGAAUAUGCUAUUGCAAUCCAAAUAUUGUGAAUAUAGAUGAAGUAUUAAUAAG